UCCUUCGGGAGCAAAGAGACAGGUGGUGCAUGGCUGUCGUCAGCUCGUGUCGUGAGAUGUUGGGUUAAGUCCCGCAACGAGCGCAACCCUUAUUGUUAGUUGCCAUCAUUUAGUUGGGCACUCUAGCGAGACUGCCGGUGACAAACCGGAGGAAGGUGGGGAUGACGUCAAGUCAGCAUGCCCCUUAUGACCUGGGCUACACACGUGCUACAAUGGGAAGUACAGAGA
RNAcentral lists this ribosomal RNA (228 nucleotides) under Melissococcus plutonius. RNAcentral's name for it is "partial 16S ribosomal RNA". It matches the Rfam family "Bacterial small subunit ribosomal RNA", at positions 1016 to 1245 of the family's 1533-position model. The record is from RNAcentral. Lineage: Bacteria; Bacillati; Bacillota; Bacilli; Lactobacillales; Enterococcaceae.